RNAcentral lists this transfer RNA (72 nucleotides) under Urocitellus parryii (Arctic ground squirrel). RNAcentral describes it as "Spermophilus parryii (Arctic ground squirrel) tRNA". It matches the Rfam family "tRNA". Rfam says of the family: Transfer RNA (tRNA) molecules are approximately 80 nucleotides in length. Their secondary structure includes four short double-helical elements and three loops (D, anti-codon, and T loops). The record is from Rfam by way of RNAcentral. Lineage: Eukaryota; Metazoa; Chordata; Mammalia; Rodentia; Sciuridae. RNAcentral also lists the same sequence under 2 other names.
GGGGAUGUAGCUCAAUGGUAGAGUGCUUGCCUAGCAUGUGUAAGGCCCUGAGUUCAAUUCACAGUAUCACCA